RNAcentral lists this ribosomal RNA (326 nucleotides) under Affinirhizobium pseudoryzae. RNAcentral describes it as "bacterial SSU rRNA". It matches the Rfam family "Bacterial small subunit ribosomal RNA", at positions 56 to 411 of the family's 1533-position model. Lineage: Bacteria; Pseudomonadati; Pseudomonadota; Alphaproteobacteria; Hyphomicrobiales; Rhizobiaceae. The record is from RNAcentral.
UGCAGUCGAGCGCAUCCUUCGGGGUGAGCGGCAGACGGGUGAGUAACGCGUGGGAACGUACCCUUUGCUACGGAAUAGCUCCGGGAAACUGGAAUUAAUACCGUAUGAGCCCUUCGGGGGAAAGAUUUAUCGGCAAAGGAUCGGCCCGCGUUGGAUUAGCUAGUUGGUGGGGUAAAGGCCUACCAAGGCGACGAUCCAUAGCUGGUCUGAGAGGAUGAUCAGCCACAUUGGGACUGAGACACGGCCCAAACUCCUACGGGAGGCAGCAGUGGGGAAUAUUGGACAAUGGGCGCAAGCCUGAUCCAGCCAUGCCGCGUGAGUGAUGA